RNAcentral lists this ribosomal RNA (634 nucleotides) under Pseudomonas fluorescens. RNAcentral describes it as "bacterial SSU rRNA". It matches the Rfam family "Bacterial small subunit ribosomal RNA", at positions 65 to 694 of the family's 1533-position model. The record is from RNAcentral. Lineage: Bacteria; Pseudomonadati; Pseudomonadota; Gammaproteobacteria; Pseudomonadales; Pseudomonadaceae.
AGCGGUAGAGAGAAGCUUGCUUCUCUUGAGAGCGGCGGACGGGUGAGUAAUGCCUAGGAAUCUGCCUGGUAGUGGGGGAUAACGUUCGGAAACGGACGCUAAUACCGCAUACGUCCUACGGGAGAAAGCAGGGGACCUUCGGGCCUUGCGCUAUCAGAUGAGCCUAGGUCGGAUUAGCUAGUUGGUGAGGUAAUGGCUCACCAAGGCGACGAUCCGUAACUGGUCUGAGAGGAUGAUCAGUCACACUGGAACUGAGACACGGUCCAGACUCCUACGGGAGGCAGCAGUGGGGAAUAUUGGACAAUGGGCGAAAGCCUGAUCCAGCCAUGCCGCGUGUGUGAAGAAGGUCUUCGGAUUGUAAAGCACUUUAAGUUGGGAGGAAGGGCAGUUACCUAAUACGUGAUUGUUUUGACGUUACCGACAGAAUAAGCACCGGCUAACUCUGUGCCAGCAGCCGCGGUAAUACAGAGGGUGCAAGCGUUAAUCGGAAUUACUGGGCGUAAAGCGCGCGUAGGUGGUUUGUUAAGUUGGAUGUGAAAUCCCCGGGCUCAACCUGGGAACUGCAUUCAAAACUGACUGACUAGAGUAUGGUAGAGGGUGGUGGAAUUUCCUGUGUAGCGGUGAAAUGCGUAGA